This 468-nucleotide ribosomal RNA is filed under the name uncultured bacterium. RNAcentral's name for it is "partial 16S ribosomal RNA". It matches the Rfam family "Bacterial small subunit ribosomal RNA", at positions 28 to 507 of the family's 1533-position model. The record is from RNAcentral.
GACGAACGCUGGCGGCGUGCUUAACACAUGCAAGUCGAACGGAAAGGCCCUGCUUUUGUGGGGUGCUCGAGUGGCGAACGGGUGAGUAACACGUGAGUAACCUGCCCUUGACUUUGGGAUAACUUCAGGAAACUGGGGCUAAUACCGGAUAGGAGCUCCUGCUGCAUGGUGGGGGUUGGAACGUUUCGGCGGUUGGGGAUGGACUCGCGGCUUAUCAGCUUGUUGGUGGGGUAGUGGCUUACCAAGGCUUUGACGGGUAGCCGGCCUGAGAGGGUGACCGGACACAUUGCGACUGAGAUACGGCCCAGACUCCUACGGGAGGCAGCAGUGGGGAAUAUUGCACAAUGGGCGGAAGCCUGAAGCAGCAACGCCGCGUGCGGGAUGACGGCCUUCGGGUUGUAAACCGCUUUCGCCUGUGACGAAGCGUGAGUGACGGUAAUGGGUAAAGAAGCACCGGCUAACUACGUG